CUGAGCUUUGGCUAAGCUGGCAGGAGAUCUACACUUGUCAAUGUUUGUCGUGGAUAAUUUUUCCUUCAUUUAAAGGAAUUUUCUGAUUACCAAGAUAAUACAUAUGUACCGGGGAAAACUGGCAAGAUGUGGAAAACUGCAGAAAAGAGAUUUUAAAAAUACUCUUAAUUCUCUAACAUAUACAUUUUUAUCUAAGCAGCUUCACACUACAGAGAGCCUUCAGUUAUGAAUUGUCUCGAAUGAACGCUUGAAUAUGAGGACCCAUAAGAAACCUUUAUCACUAUCUAAUUCACAAGUUAGAGUUACCGGGAAUGAUCUCCUGGCAAAAAAGCUAAACAUGCCCAGUGACUGAAAAUAGAAUUAUGUUCUUCACUCCCUUUCGGAUUCUCAAUCAACAGAUGUCACAUGGAGAUAAACAAGAUGCAUGACACACACACACCCCCACACACACAUAAAAUGAACAGAAAAUAAGCAUUGUUGAGUAAAUCUAGAGGGAUAAUCUACUGAGAGUAAUUUCUGUCUUCUCCGUGCUGCUAGAGGAAAGAGGAAAUGAACUUAACUCCCCCUUCCUACUCUGCAGUGAUGGUUAAUUUUAUGUGUCAACUUGACUGGGCUAAGUGAUGCUCAGAUAGCUGGUAAACAUUAUUUCUGAGUUCGUCUGUGAGGCUGUUUCUGGAAAAGCCAAUCCCUUAUAAUAAAUCUCUUUCUAUUUAUCUCUAUAUCGCCUAUUGGUUCUGUUUCUCUGGAGAACCUGGUCUAACACACUGCCCAGGAACAGAGAAGAGCUUGCACUGCAGGGGGUGGGGCGUGUGCGGAGAUAGCAUCCUUGGAUGUCAGGACACAAGAUGAAGAAAACUUCCACUUGGAAUUCUGUUGGGAAGAUAAGGCUCAUUCUAGAAUUAAGUUGAUGUUUCUGGGAGUAGGAGGGUUGUGCAUUGAGAGGCUGCGGUGUGGUGUGUUGCAAAAAAUAUACAUGAUUAUUUACACCUGUAUCCAGGCCCUUUGCAAUAUGACCCUGUGUCUGAUUUCCACCUCUUGAGUCUGGCCAGGUUGUGUGACUUGCUUUGAUUAACAGAAUGUGGCAGAAGUGACAGUGAGCUAGUACUGAGCCAAGACCUCAAGACACUUUGUACGAUGCUACUUGUUCUAUUGUCCCUGUCAGUGCUGUAUGGAUAAGCUUGGGAUCACCUGUUGAAGGAUGAGAGAACACAUUCCUUGUGGAGGAGACAUGAAACAUUCCAGUUGUCCCAACUAAGGCCUCAGGGAUAAGACAGAGUUCAUCCAAAGUCAGCAAAACCUCCUACCUGGCCUACAGCUGAACUCAGACACCUAAAGGAAGCUGCCAAGAUCAGAAGAACCACCCAGCUGAGCCCAGUCCAACUUGCCAAUGCAUGGACUCCAACACUAAGUAAAUAGUUAUUGUUUUAAGACACAAGUUUUGUUUAUGAUUUGUUAUGUAGCUGUAUCAGGGUUGAAGGGAGGGGAAACCUGAUGAAGAAAAGAUAGUGUGUCCCUCCAUUUGGAAAGAUGGGCAAAUAGCAGUUGUGGAGGUCUACAAGCUGGCACACUACUCCCUGUGGAGAAGUUCUGAUGGGCCGGAAAGAGUAUGGCUAAAAACCUAUCCUUAGGAGAAGCAAAGAGGGACCCUUGUAGCAGACCCAAUAUGCAAGCUGAUCAAUGCAAAUGCCUGGUACCUGCAAUCUUCUUCAUAGAUCUAUUUUGGGCUACUGGAGAUGUUUUGCUCAGAAAUACUGAGCAUCAGAGGUGCCUGGAAGUCACAUUCCUGGGGAGUCACAGUAGGCAAAGUCUGGUGACAUGGAAAGCCAAGAUCCUAAGGAGAGAUGAACUCUGAGGGGUCACUUACACUCAGAGCUCUCCCACAGAUGAGGCAGCGGUGGAGACCUCACCUGAAGUCACCCCCUUCGUAGUCUUGUCCCCUUCCUUGUCCUGUUCUCCCAUCAUUUCCCAGUGUCUCCUGGGCCAUCUCCCUACUAAACAACUUACCCUGAUCUCAGGAUCUGCUUCUGGAGAACUCAACCUAAGACAGGCAAUUUGGGGAGAACAAGAGAAGCUGGUGUAUACAGAAAUCUAACUUUGCAUGUUCCGCUAUGUUCCGGCAUCACAUUAUUCCACUAAGCCAUAACUAAUAAAAUUGUACUUAUUAGAAAUCUAACUUUGCAUGUGGCCCUAUAUUCCAGCAUCACAUUAUUCCACUAAGCCAUAAAUAAUAGAAUUGUGCUUAUUACCUAAGGCAUUUAUUACCUGGGAACAAGAGUAGGUGGGCAAAGCAACUUUUUGUGCAGUUGGAAAACAGUUUUUGCUCAUUUUCUUAACUCAUUUAAUAAACAUAUAUUUAAAACAUAGUGUAUAAUUUUCAUUUUCUUUUCAAUUCCUAAUUCACACUAUUUUUAAAUCCUUCCAUGCUUUAGACUUUAUUUAUUUUUUAUGUCAAGAACUGUGGGGAAUUCUGUAGGAAGAUACCAAAUUCAUGAUGUGAAGAAUGCAAAUAUUGGUGAUAAUAUUAAAACCAAAAACAUUAUUAAACUUAUACAGCCUGAG
RNAcentral lists this long non-coding RNA (2559 nucleotides) under Equus caballus (horse). RNAcentral's name for it is "lncRNA (ENSECAG00000045503.1)". The record is from RNAcentral. Lineage: Eukaryota; Metazoa; Chordata; Mammalia; Perissodactyla; Equidae.